UACGUAGGGUGCGAGCGUUAAUCGGAAUUACUGGGCGUAAAGGGUGCGCAGGCGGCACGAUAAGUUUGGUGUGAAAUCCCUGGGCUUAACCUAGGAACUGCACUGAAGACUGUCGUGCUAGAGUGUGCUAGAGGGGGGUAGAAUUCCUGGUGUAGCAGUGAAAUGCGUAGAGAUCAGGAGGAAUACCGAUGGCGAAGGCAGCCCCCUGGAGCACAACUGACGCUCAUGCACGAAAGCGUGGGGAGCAAACAGG
RNAcentral lists this ribosomal RNA (253 nucleotides) under uncultured bacterium. Its description in RNAcentral is "partial 16S ribosomal RNA". It matches the Rfam family "Bacterial small subunit ribosomal RNA", at positions 524 to 776 of the family's 1533-position model. The record is from RNAcentral.